This 2906-nucleotide ribosomal RNA is filed under the name Escherichia coli. Its description in RNAcentral is "bacterial LSU rRNA". It matches the Rfam family "Bacterial large subunit ribosomal RNA". Lineage: Bacteria; Pseudomonadati; Pseudomonadota; Gammaproteobacteria; Enterobacterales; Enterobacteriaceae. The record is from RNAcentral.
UUAAGCGACUAAGCGUACACGGUGGAUGCCCUGGCAGUCAGAGGCGAUGAAGGACGUGCUAAUCUGCGAUAAGCGUCGGUAAGGUGAUAUGAACCGUUAUAACCGGCGAUUUCCGAAUGGGGAAACCCAGUGUGUUUCGACACACUAUCAUUAACUGAAUCCAUAGGUUAAUGAGGCGAACCGGGGGAACUGAAACAUCUAAGUACCCCGAGGAAAAGAAAUCAACCGAGAUUCCCCCAGUAGCGGCGAGCGAACGGGGAGCAGCCCAGAGCCUGAAUCAGUGUGUGUGUUAGUGGAAGCGUCUGGAAAGGCGCGCGAUACAGGGUGACAGCCCCGUACACAAAAAUGCACAUGCUGUGAGCUCGAUGAGUAGGGCGGGACACGUGGUAUCCUGUCUGAAUAUGGGGGGACCAUCCUCCAAGGCUAAAUACUCCUGACUGACCGAUAGUGAACCAGUACCGUGAGGGAAAGGCGAAAAGAACCCCGGCGAGGGGAGUGAAAAAGAACCUGAAACCGUGUACGUACAAGCAGUGGGAGCACAGAGCAAUCUGUGUGACUGCGUACCUUUUGUAUAAUGGGUCAGCGACUUAUAUUCUGUAGCAAGGUUAACCGAAUAGGGGAGCCGAAGGGAAACCGAGUCUUAACUGGGCGUUAAGUUGCAGGGUAUAGACCCGAAACCCGGUGAUCUAGCCAUGGGCAGGUUGAAGGUUGGGUAACACUAACUGGAGGACCGAACCGACUAAUGUUGAAAAAUUAGCGGAUGACUUGUGGCUGGGGGUGAAAGGCCAAUCAAACCGGGAGAUAGCUGGUUCUCCCCGAAAGCUAUUUAGGUAGCGCCUCGUGAAUUCAUCUCCGGGGGUAGAGCACUGUUUCGGCAAGGGGGUCAUCCCGACUUACCAACCCGAUGCAAACUGCGAAUACCGGAGAAUGUUAUCACGGGAGACACACGGCGGGUGCUAACGUCCGUCGUGAAGAGGGAAACAACCCAGACCGCCAGCUAAGGUCCCAAAGUCAUGGUUAAGUGGGAAACGAUGUGGGAAGGCCCAGACAGCCAGGAUGUUGGCUUAGAAGCAGCCAUCAUUUAAAGAAAGCGUAAUAGCUCACUGGUCGAGUCGGCCUGCGCGGAAGAUGUAACGGGGCUAAACCAUGCACCGAAGCUGCGGCAGCGACGCUUAUGCGUUGUUGGGUAGGGGAGCGUUCUGUAAGCCUGCGAAGGUGUGCUGUGAGGCAUGCUGGAGGUAUCAGAAGUGCGAAUGCUGACAUAAGUAACGAUAAAGCGGGUGAAAAGCCCGCUCGCCGGAAGACCAAGGGUUCCUGUCCAACGUUAAUCGGGGCAGGGUGAGUCGACCCCUAAGGCGAGGCCGAAAGGCGUAGUCGAUGGGAAACAGGUUAAUAUUCCUGUACUUGGUGUUACUGCGAAGGGGGGACGGAGAAGGCUAUGUUGGCCGGGCGACGGUUGUCCCGGUUUAAGCGUGUAGGCUGGUUUUCCAGGCAAAUCCGGAAAAUCAAGGCUGAGGCGUGAUGACGAGGCACUACGGUGCUGAAGCAACAAAUGCCCUGCUUCCAGGAAAAGCCUCUAAGCAUCAGGUAACAUCAAAUCGUACCCCAAACCGACACAGGUGGUCAGGUAGAGAAUACCAAGGCGCUUGAGAGAACUCGGGUGAAGGAACUAGGCAAAAUGGUGCCGUAACUUCGGGAGAAGGCACGCUGAUAUGUAGGUGAAGUCCCUCGCGGAUGGAGCUGAAAUCAGUCGAAGAUACCAGCUGGCUGCAACUGUUUAUUAAAAACACAGCACUGUGCAAACACGAAAGUGGACGUAUACGGUGUGACGCCUGCCCGGUGCCGGAAGGUUAAUUGAUGGGGUUAGCGGUAACGCGAAGCUCUUGAUCGAAGCCCCGGUAAACGGCGGCCGUAACUAUAACGGUCCUAAGGUAGCGAAAUUCCUUGUCGGGUAAGUUCCGACCUGCACGAAUGGCGUAAUGAUGGCCAGGCUGUCUCCACCCGAGACUCAGUGAAAUUGAACUCGCUGUGAAGAUGCAGUGUACCCGCGGCAAGACGGAAAGACCCCGUGAACCUUUACUAUAGCUUGACACUGAACAUUGAGCCUUGAUGUGUAGGAUAGGUGGGAGGCUUUGAAGUGUGGACGCCAGUCUGCAUGGAGCCGGCCUUGAAAUACCACCCUUUAAUGUUUGAUGUUCUAACGUUGGCCCCUGAUCGGGGUUGCGGACAGUGUCUGGUGGGUAGUUUGACUGGGGCGGUCUCCUCCUAAAGAGUAACGGAGGAGCACGAAGGUUGGCUAAUCCUGGUCGGACAUCAGGAGGUUAGUGCAAUGGCAUAAGCCAGCUUGACUGCGAGCGUGACGGCGCGAGCAGGUGCGAAAGCAGGUCAUAGUGAUCCGGUGGUUCUGAAUGGAAGGGCCAUCGCUCAACGGAUAAAAGGUACUCCGGGGAUAACAGGCUGAUACCGCCCAAGAGUUCAUAUCGACGGCGGUGUUUGGCACCUCGAUGUCGGCUCAUCACAUCCUGGGGCUGAAGUAGGUCCCAAGGGUAUGGCUGUUCGCCAUUUAAAGUGGUACGCGAGCUGGGUUUAGAACGUCGUGAGACAGUUCGGUCCCUAUCUGCCGUGGGCGCUGGAGAACUGAGGGGGGCUGCUCCUAGUACGAGAGGACCGGAGUGGACGCAUCACUGGUGUUCGGGUUGUCAUGCCAAUGGCACUGCCCGGUAGCUAAAUGCGGAAGAGAUAAGUGCUGAAAGCAUCUAAGCACGAAACUUGCCCCGAGAUGAGUUCUCCCUGACUCCUUGAGAGUCCUGAAGGAACGUUGAAGACGACGACGUUGAUAGGCCGGGUGUGUAAGCGCAGCGAUGCGUUGAGCUAACCGGUACUAAUGAACCGUGAGGCUUAACCUU